Molecule: ribosomal RNA, 428 nt
Filed under: Bacteroidota bacterium
Lineage: Bacteria; Pseudomonadati; Bacteroidota
Description: Bacteroidetes bacterium partial 16S ribosomal RNA
Rfam family: Bacterial small subunit ribosomal RNA
Source: RNAcentral
UAGGGAAUCUUCCGCAAUGGACGCAAGUCUGACGGAGCAACGCCGCGUGAGUGAAGAAGGUUUUCGGUUCGUAAAACUCUGUUGUUAGAGAAGAACAGCGCAUAGAGUAACUGUUAUGCGUGUGACGGUAUCUAACCAGAAAGCCACGGCUAACUACGUGCCAGCAGCCGCGGUAAUACGUAGGUGGCAAGCGUUGUCCGGAUUUAUUGGGCGUAAAGCGAGCGCAGGCGGUUAGAAAAGUCUGAAGUGAAAGGCAGUGGCUCAACCAUUGUAGGCUUUGGAAACUGUUUAACUUGAGUGCAGAAGGGGAGAGUGGAAUUCCAUGUGUAGCGGUGAAAUGCGUAGAUAUAUGGAGGAACACCGGUGGCGAAAGCGGCUCUCUGGUCUGUAACUGACGCUGAGGCUCGAAAGCGUGGGGAGCGAACAGG